Molecule: unclassified non-coding RNA, 455 nt
Filed under: Dermacentor andersoni
Lineage: Eukaryota; Metazoa; Arthropoda; Arachnida; Ixodida; Ixodidae
Description: uncharacterized LOC126524675
Source: RNAcentral
AAGAAAGAGCGGACAUCUUCAGGUACACGCCAACGGAGAAAGCGUCACGGACAACUUCCUGAAGGCCCUUUGAUGCAGAACAACCCUCAUCACCAAGGUCUGGACGCGCAAGAUGAACCGACCGGUACAAGCGUGGCCUCGGCGUCAAGUGAUUCGUGAAUCCUCCAGGAACCGAAGCCUUGCAACACAAAUGAGUGGGAGUGGCUUUUCGAGUAAGGCUAUGACCUUUCCCCGGAUGCCCUUGUGCGUGACCCGGACUUGACCUAGAUGGAAUGACGAGCCGCCGUGUGAACUUCCCGUUCGAUUUAAGCACUCCACGACUGUUUUUCACGAACACUCCUAGACAUUGUGACGAGACCAAUGCGCAUUUACACCUAGACGCCCUAUGUCUUCAUUGCAGUGUUUCUUGCAAAGGAAAGCGCCACGCGGCGUGCGCUGAUGUGUAUUCACUUAAU